This 1425-nucleotide ribosomal RNA is filed under the name metagenome. RNAcentral describes it as "bacterial LSU rRNA". It matches the Rfam family "Bacterial large subunit ribosomal RNA", at positions 1521 to 2925 of the family's 2925-position model. The record is from RNAcentral.
UUAGGGUUUUCCAGGCAAAUCCGGAAAAUCAAGGCUGAGGCGUGAUGACGAGGCACUACGGUGCUGAAGCAACAAAUGCCCUGCUUCCAGGAAAAGCCUCUAAGCAUCAGGUAACAUCAAAUCGUACCCCAAACCGACACAGGUGGUCAGGUAGAGAAUACCAAGGCGCUUGAGAGAACUCGGGUGAAGGAACUAGGCAAAAUGGUGCCGUAACUUCGGGAGAAGGCACGCUGAUAUGUAGGUGAAGCGACUUGCUCGUGGAGCUGAAAUCAGUCGAAGAUACCAGCUGGCUGCAACUGUUUAUUAAAAACACAGCACUGUGCAAACACGAAAGUGGACGUAUACGGUGUGACGCCUCCCCGGUGCCGGAAGGUUAAUUGAUGGGGUUAGCGCAAGCGAAGCUCUUGAUCGAAGCCCCGGUAAACGGCGGCCGUAACGAUAACGGUCCUAAGGUAGCGAAAUUCCUUGUCGGGUAAGUUCCGACCUGCACGAAUGGCGUAAUGAUGGCCAGGCUGUCUCCACCCGAGACUCAGUGAAAUUGAACUCGCUGUGAAGAUGCAGUGUACCCGCGGCAAGACGGAAAGACCCCGUGAACCUUUACUAUAGCUUGACACUGAACAUUGAGCCUUGAUGUGUAGGAUAGGUGGGAGGCUUUGAAGUGUGGACGCCAGUCUGCAUGGAGCCGACCUUGAAAUACCACCCCUUAAUGUUUGAUGUUCUAACGUUGACCCGUAAUCCGGGUUGCGGACAGUGUCUGGUGGGUAGUUUGACUGGGGCGGUCUCCUCCUAAAGAGUAACGGAGGAGCACGAAGGUUGGCUAAUCCUGGUCGGACAUCAGGAGGUUAGUGCAAUGGCAUAAGCCAGCUUGACUGCGAGCGUGACGGCGCGAGCAGGUGCGAAAGCAGGUCAUAGUGAUCCGGUGGUUCUGAAUGGAAGGGCCAUCGCUCAACGGAUAAAAGGUACUCCGGGGAUAACAGGCUGAUACCGCCCAAGAGUUCAUAUCGACGGCGGUGUUUGGCACCUCGAUGUCGGCUCAUCACAUCCUGGGGCUGAAGUAGGUCCCAAGGGUAUGGCUGUUCGCCAUUUAAAGUGGUACGCGAGCUGGGUUUAGAACGUCGUGAGACAGUUCGGUCCCUAUCUGCCGUGGGCGCUGGAGAACUGAGGGGGGCUGCUCCUAGUACGAGAGGACCGGAGUGGACGCAUCACUGGUGCUCGGGUUGUCAUGCCAAUGGCACUGCCCGGUAGCUAAAUGCGGAAGAGAUAAGUGCUGAAAGCAUCUAAGCACGAAACUUGCCCCGAGAUGAGUUCUCCCUGACUCCUUGAGAGUCCUGAAGGAACGUUGAAGACGACGACGUUGAUAGGCCGGGUGUGUAAGCGCAGCGAUGCGUUGAGCUAACCGGUACUAAUGAACCGUGAGGCUUAACC